CUACGUAGGGGGCGAGCGUUGUCCGGAAUGAUUGGGUGUAAAGGGAGCGUAGGCGGGAGUGCAAGUCAGAUGUGAAAUACGUGGGCUCAACCCAUGGGCUGCAUUUGAAACUGCAUUUCUUGAGUGAAGUAGAGGUAAGCGGAAUUCCUGGUGUAGCGGUGAAAUGCGUAGAUAUCAGGAGGAACACCGGUGGCGAAGGCGGCUUACUGGGCUUUUACUGACGCUGAGGCUCGAAAGCGUGGGGAGCAAACAGGAUUAGAUACCCUGGUAGUCCACGCUGUAAACGAUGAUUACUAGGUGUGGGGGGACUGACCCCUUCCGUGCCGCAGUUAACACAAUAAGUAAUCCACCUGGGGAGUACGGCCGCAAGGUUGAAACUCAAAUGAAUUGACGGGG
This 396-nucleotide ribosomal RNA is filed under the name uncultured bacterium. RNAcentral's name for it is "partial 16S ribosomal RNA". It matches the Rfam family "Bacterial small subunit ribosomal RNA", at positions 523 to 918 of the family's 1533-position model. The record is from RNAcentral.